GUGCCAGCAGCCGCGGUAAUACGUAGGGUGCGAGCGUUGUCCGGAAUUACUGGGCGUAAAGGGCUCGUAGGUGGUUUGUCGCGUCGUCUGUGAAAUUCCGGGGCUUAACUCCGGGCGUGCAGGCGAUACGGGCAUAACUUGAGUACUGUAGGGGUAACUGGAAUUCCUGGUGUAGCGGUGAAAUGCGCAGAUAUCAGGAGGAACACCGAUGGCGAAGGCAGGUUACUGGGCAGUUACUGACGCUGAGGAGCGAAAGCAUGGGUAGCGAACAGGAUUAGAUACCCUGGUAGUCCAUGCCGUAAACGGUGGGCGCUAGGUGUGAGGGUCUUUUCACGACUUUCGUGCCGUAGCUAACGCAUUAAGCGCCCCGCCUGGGGAGUACGGCCGCAAGGCUAAAACUCAAAGGAAUUGACGGGGGCCCGCACAAGCGGCGGAGCAUGUGGAUUAAUUCGAUGCAACGCGAAGAACCUUACCUGGGCUUGACAUAUACAAGACAGGCGUAGAGAUACGUCCUCCCUUGUGGUUUGUAUACAGGUGGUGCAUGGUUGUCGUCAGCUCGUGUCGUGAGAUGUUGGGUUAAGUCCCGCAACGAGCGCAACCCUUGUCUUAUGUUGCCAGCAUUUGGUUGGGGACUCAUGAGAGACUGCCGGGGUCAACUCGGAGGAAGGUGGGGAUGACGUCAAAUCAUCAUGCCCCUUAUGUCCAGGGCUUCACACAUGCUACAAUGGUCGGUACAACGCGCAGCGACACUGUGAGGUGGAGCGAAUCGCUGAAAGCCGGCCUUAGUUCGGAUUGGGGUCUGCAACUCGACCCCAUGAAGUCGGAGUCGCUAGUAAUCGCAGAUCAGCAACGCUGCGGUGAAUACGUUCCCGGGCCUUGUACACACCGCCCGUCACGUCAUGAAAGUUGGUAACACCCGAAGCCAGUGGCUCAAACUCGUUAGGGAGCUGUCGAAGGUGGGAUCGGCGAUUGGGACGAAGUCGUAACAAGGUA
This 993-nucleotide ribosomal RNA is filed under the name uncultured Corynebacterium sp. RNAcentral's name for it is "bacterial SSU rRNA". It matches the Rfam family "Bacterial small subunit ribosomal RNA", at positions 505 to 1498 of the family's 1533-position model. The record is from RNAcentral. Lineage: Bacteria; Bacillati; Actinomycetota; Actinomycetes; Mycobacteriales; Corynebacteriaceae.